RNAcentral lists this small RNA (497 nucleotides) under Arabidopsis thaliana (thale cress). Its description in RNAcentral is "ATSL084650". The record is from RNAcentral. Lineage: Eukaryota; Viridiplantae; Streptophyta; Magnoliopsida; Brassicales; Brassicaceae.
CUCAUGAAUGUACUAAUUAUUGUCUAUUAUAAGGUUUAUGAAAUCACUUGGAAGUUGGUACUGUAGUUUGAUGAUUUUAGACUUUUAGUAUCUGUUAGCUUGACAGUUAUAAUUAGUGAGAUAACUGUUAAAAAGCGGCUGCAAAAUUAGGGUUACAAAGGUUGAAGACGAUUGCAAAAUUACAAUUAUACCCUCCAUUAAAUUUUUUGUGUGUACAUAUUUAUAAUUUACAACUAGGUCAGUAUUCGUGCUACGCACGGUAUCUUUGGUUAAAUCAAUCAUCAAAUAUUAAGUUCUGUGUAUUCCACAUAAACUCUACUUUAUUUUCAUUAUAUGUAAACAUAUAGUUGUAUAUCAUGUAUCAUUGGAAUAAAAUAAAUAUAUUUAGUCUCGUCAAACAAUAUUUUGGUAAGUAUAUAUAGUUUCCUCGGGUUGUAGCAUGCAAACAAUGUCUAAGUUGAUAUGUACGUUUGGGAACGUAAUUUUAUAUUUUGUAU